This 380-nucleotide long non-coding RNA is filed under the name Ananas comosus (pineapple). Its description in RNAcentral is "long non-coding RNA (ACOM_LNC013182)". The record is from RNAcentral. Lineage: Eukaryota; Viridiplantae; Streptophyta; Magnoliopsida; Poales; Bromeliaceae.
GCGAGCCGGCUCGCGUUCGACUCGUGUUCGGCUCGAUAUUCGGCUCGCUCGAGCUCGACUCGAAAUUAAAUGAGCCGAGUUUGAACAAAAUAAAAGGCUCGAAAUUCAUUUCAAGCCGAGCUUGAGUAUUACUCGGCUCGUUCGAAUUAGGCUCGAAAAGCUCAAAUAUAUAUAUAUAUAUAUAUAUAUAUAGGCUGGGGCUACUAUACUCUUAUGAGUAUAGACCCCAUUGUACUCAUAAAUUUUUAACCAUUGAUUGAUGGGAUGUGUGGUUAGGAUGAUGGUGGUCCCCACUUAGAAUGAUAGUGGUCCCCUAGGGUUGAGUGGGUAGUUGGUUAAAUAGUAUGAUCUAACGGAUGAAAAUGAUUAAUGGAAUAAAU